GGCUUGGUGGUGUAGUGGUAACAUGCCCUCUUAAAGUAUGCAUUGAGCGACACUUUAGGGGGAGUGCCCUGUUCGAUUCGGGGCCAGGCCA
Non-coding RNA from Mycena maculata, 91 nucleotides. The record is from the annotation of a GenBank genome assembly. Lineage: Eukaryota; Fungi; Basidiomycota; Agaricomycetes; Agaricales; Mycenaceae.